UACGGAGGAUCCAAGCGUUAUCCGGAAUCAUUGGGUUUAAAGGGUCCGUAGGUGGAUAAUUAAGUCAGAGGUGAAAGUUUGCAGCUCAACUGUAAAAUUGCCUUUGAUACUGGUUAUCUUGAGUUAUUAUGAAGUAGUUAGAAUAUGUAGUGUAGCGGUGAAAUGCAUAGAUAUUACAUAGAAUACCAAUUGCGAAGGCAGAUUACUAAUAAUCAACUGACACUGAUGGACGAAAGCGUGGGGAGCGAACAGG
This 253-nucleotide ribosomal RNA is filed under the name uncultured bacterium. RNAcentral describes it as "partial 16S ribosomal RNA". It matches the Rfam family "Bacterial small subunit ribosomal RNA", at positions 524 to 776 of the family's 1533-position model. The record is from RNAcentral.